RNAcentral lists this ribosomal RNA (718 nucleotides) under Triticum aestivum (bread wheat). RNAcentral describes it as "partial small subunit ribosomal RNA". Lineage: Eukaryota; Viridiplantae; Streptophyta; Magnoliopsida; Poales; Poaceae. The record is from RNAcentral.
AUGUCAUACUCCUGGCGAAGUAUCUUGAAGGGGGUCAAGGUGCUUAAUGAGGGUGUUAUUUGGCGAGUGGGAAAUGGUUUAAACAUAAACAUUUGGAAUGAUCCAUGGCUACCGCGAAGCUCAACGAGGAGGCCAAUCACAGUAAGAGGAAGAAACAUGUUACUACACAAAGUAUCUAAACUCAUAAACCCUGUGACCAGAAGCUGGGAUGAAGAAUUAGUCUAUCAAACCUUCUGCAAUGAAGAUGCCAAUCUCAUUAUGCAGCUGCAAGUAAAUGAGUCAGCGGAUGACAAUUUAGCUUGGCAUUAUAACAAAGGGACUUGCAGAGGCAGCAUGAGCAGGGAGGUUGAGCCAUAUCAUGGAUGCUCUCCAAGCAAAAAGCCUAGCCCUCAUCGGAGCAAUUGAAAGAGCAAAUGAUUUGGAGUGUCAAAAUGUCAUUUUUGAAACUGAUUCCCGUGUGCUGCAACAAACAAUCUCUACUGAAGAGUAUGAUGCUUCCCUAUGUGGUGCUCUAUUCAUGAAGGCAAGAAGACUUUUAUGGUUGUAUUUUAAUGAUGUAAAAAUUGUGUGGGUUCCAAGAGUCUAUAACUAUGUAGCCCAUGUUUUAGCGUCUCAUGGCGCUGGUUUGGAGUCGGGAGACCAAGUUCACUGGCUCUGCGAUGUCCCAGACUUUGUAAAUUCUGCAGUUACCAGCGAUUUAGCUGGCCUGCCUGAGUAA